AUUAGAAUGCUUAUUUUAAUAAAGGCGUAAAUGUUGGAUUUGGGAUACAGAUAUGAAGAAACUGUAAUAACCAGCAUGUGUAUAAUGGGAGAUACUGGAAAUCUGAUUUUAAGAUGAAUAAAGGAGGACCUGAAUAAUCCAAUAGCUGUAUAACGUUUAUGGUUGUCAUAGAAUGUAAAGGAAUCGAUGUUAUUCUAAGGGAACCUGUUUGCACAACAUUUUUAAUAACAUUUUGUAUGUGUCACAAAGUCUAUAUUUGACAGAAGACGCUGAGAAAAAGUGAACGCGUGGAUGUGAAGUCCAUGUAAAGGUCAUCUGCUCGUACUUCAGUAUCUCUGUUUAUUUGAUCUCCGGCCACUCGGUCAAAAUUUAGCUUCCCUCGCUGGAGGCUGCUGGGAAAAGCUCCUCUCGCGUCAUGUGACCGAGGUACUAGAAUUCCUUCGGACCAGACCAGCUCCUCCGGACCGACCCCGUGAGGACGAGCCACUGAACUGCGUAGCAAGACGAGAGAAGUGAGCCAUGUCAGAGUUUGUUUACCCACAAUCCCCUUCUCCUCCUACUCUGAAUAUCACACAACAAACCGCGUAGCUCCCUAUCCAUGCAUUAUAACUAUGUCGACAUGCGUGACGUUUUCCUGCGAGUUUUUAAACGUGACCAUAACGUCCUGCUCUGUCCCCAUGUGUUUAGACUGGGUUCCUUAGCCACUGUAGCCGAAUGGACCUCGAUGGUGACGGUUUGUGGUUUAAGGUCGUGUUUGCUCCAGCACCCCCCUCACCUCUUCCUUACCUCCAUCCUGGACCCUUCAUUUUUCCCGCCAGUCCAGCUCACGUCACCUCCCAUCCUUCUUCAGCUUCAUGCCGAACUCGUCCGUCUCGAUGGGUGGCAGCGCGGACAUGGGAGGGGCGCUGGGGACCACCUGGCCCUGAGACCUCUGGGGUCCGUCCCGCUCGAGCCGGCCUUGCCGGGUCCGGGUCGACCUCCCCUGCUGGAAGCGCUCCGCACGCUCGCGGCGGUCGGCUUGGGAUCUGCCAUACGACAGCGCACGGCCGCCGAGGUUCUGCUUCUCGACUGGGACCGGACUGCUCUGCUCCGGGGUCAUGGCCUCCUUCUCCGGAAGGAGGGGUUGAAGAGGAGGCAGCGCCGCCAGCUGGAGGAAGAGAGCUACGUCAGAAAGAGUGAAAUCCAGCCAUGGACGUUCCUUCCGCCACUGCUGUUCUCCAUCAACGCGGAGCCCCGAGCGCGGACCCGAAGCGACAUCGUUCACCUGUCUGCUUCGCUCGGGACCGCAGAUCUGGAGGGGCUGGUAAAGAGGGCCAUCGCCAGGCAGGGCAGAGCUUUUCGUGCUCCGUGGAAGUUUGUUUUGCACCUGGGCCAAAAGAAAUGAACACGCAAACAUGCAGGAAGAGAGCAGAACAGAUUAACCCCGCGGCGCCUUGGACCGCCCUCUCUCCUCGCUUCGCCACGCCUCUCCUUCUUACUCGGGUGCGUCGCCGCAGGGCUCACCUGUGGGACGCCCCCAGCGAGGAAGCCGCAGCGGUGAAUGACGGGCAGGAGGGGGCGGGCACAGCACAGCUCCUGAAAGACCAGAAACACAGAUCCACUGUUCUGCCCCCGUAUCAGCGAUCUGAUCAGAAGACAGGAAGCGCAGAAAUGUUUUGAACUCGGAAUAAUACGGUUUGCACGGACCAGCUUUGUCUGUGAAUUCACUCUAACGAGGCCUGGACUGCGCGUACGUACGAGAUGAUUGGGGCAUCUGUAGUCGAGGGCAAUUACUGGUAAUGGGAGCUGAUGACGGGUGCACUGGCGGCUGAGGCCACUCCCAUCGUUGGCCCCAUAGCCACUCCCACCAUUAUUGCCGCUCCCAUAGCCACUCCCACUGCCGUAGCCACGCCCACUGAGGGACAGGCCUGGGUAGACACUGCUCGUGUUCAAGGAGCCGGAGAUGACCCUGUGGAUAAAACAUUACACUCCAGCACAUAAAUAUGUAAGAAAAAAUAUAAUUUAGCCCUUGGAGGCUAAUGUGACGCGCAUUUCAUACCCACGAUGCCAGUUUUUCCAGUCAUUUUUUAAAGUUUCGUAACUGGCCAAUGCGCUUUCGGAUAUCUGCCUUUAACUUUUUUCUUUUUUUUGCAUUUUGAUGUCCUCCCUUUUUGAUAUGUGGACACGUGACUGACAUGAUGACACACUUCCUGUGAGCCAUUUUGUUCUUGUCUGGAACUUGGCAAGAAGGUUUUCUGCUGCAGAAACUGCAUAACUCAUUAUGGACUGGAUAGACAAUGAUGACAGUGAUGGUUCAAGUGUUGAAUUUUCUGAUAUUAGCGAUAUUUAGAGCAGGAUUGUUCAGAAAAACAAAGUGUGUAAAGUACAGUGAUUUUGCUCAAUUACCCAGUUGGUGAGAAUAAACAGAACCUUAAAGGUUUUGUCUGUGGAUCA
Long non-coding RNA from Scleropages formosus (Asian bonytongue), 2433 nucleotides. Lineage: Eukaryota; Metazoa; Chordata; Actinopteri; Osteoglossiformes; Osteoglossidae. The record is from Ensembl.